RNAcentral lists this long non-coding RNA (2076 nucleotides) under Gallus gallus (chicken). RNAcentral describes it as "lncRNA (ENSGALG00010017000.1)". Lineage: Eukaryota; Metazoa; Chordata; Aves; Galliformes; Phasianidae. The record is from RNAcentral.
GGGGUCAGGGAGGGGUUGGUUCUGUGGCAGAGAGCUGAGCUCUGCCUUAGUAGCCCAAUAAGCACAGAGUGAUGGUACAGGAAUGGGUCCUGCAUGGGUGGGUGUUAGCAGUGUGCUGGUGGGAGUGCAGCUGUCAGUGCUGUGCAUCGGGGGUGAGACGUGCAGCUGGUCAGUGCCGCUCUGUGCACACGUUCUGUGAGAGUACAGGCAGGGCUAAGUGAGUUGGUGCCCUUCACCUGCCACAUACACACAGAAAUUUGUAAUGGGUGCCUCCUCACCCGCUGUGAUUCCACAUUGCUCCAUAUGUACCAGGUCCCUGCAGAAUGGAGAUCACUCUCCCCCAAGGUUUUUGGUUUUGCCCCAUUUGUACCAUUGAGAAGCUGAAAGCAGCACAGAGCAACUGUGAGCUGCAGCCCUCCUCCCCCCACCUUAAGUAGAGAUGGGAGCACCGUCACAGCUGCAGCUCAUCUGGGACAGCUGGUGCUGCAUUGGGUUCACCUGAUGGAGCAUCCCCAAGAACACCAUGACAGCUUUCCUGUGCUCUGCAAGACACCCUGUGAUGGGAAGGCUCUGUCACAUUCCAGGGCCAGGACAGCUGCUGGGGCUGGGGGUGGCCCACCUCUAUACCCCCCUGCAGGGCCACUCCGGGUGGCAGCCGCUGGAUGUGGGCUUCCAUUCAUCCCCUCCCUGCGCGGUUUCUCGGGGUCACUGCUCUGCACCACCACGACUCCAAUGGGGUCAGAAAUGCUGGGGUGGAAGAGCUCGAAGAGCAGCAGCUGAGCGCCUGUGUGGCUGCGUGUUCUGAGGGGGGGUUUAAAAUUAUUCUUAAUCUUUGGUACUUGGCUGUUCCUCAGCAGAGCCCCUCCUGACGGCACCUCCUGCUCCUGCACCUCCCACACUGCUACGCCUCCUACACUCCUGCACUGCUGCAUCUGCACCUCCCACGCUGCUGCGCUUCCUACACUCCUGCACUGUUGCACCUCCUGCACUGCUGCACCGCUGCACCUGCACCUCCUGCACAACUGCACAACUGCACUUGCACCACCUGCACCUCCUGUACUGCUGUACUGCACCACCUGCACUGCUGCCUGGAGCAGCACUGGGGAGUACCGUGUGCUCAUCUUCGGGGAGGCCCAUCCAGAACCGGGUGCUGCUGUCAGGUUCAUUGGCUGUGCCACAGGGUCUGCGGCUGCGGGGCUGUGCUCAUGAGGACCCAGCAGCAGCCACCCGGUGCUGCAGAACAAAGCCAAUUAGCAGGGCUCCAGCUCCCUGAUAAUAAUUCUUAGGAGAAGAGGAACUGUUCUGGAAUACAUUAUUGUCUUCAUUUCUUUUCAUGUGCAAAGAAAUAAAAAGCUUGCCCUUCGCUGGCAGCCAGGGUGAGGACAAUCCAGUGGUAAUGAGAGAAGCCCUACUCAGAGGCAGUCCUGCCCUCUCCCUCCCAGCACACAGAAGGUUUGGGGGCUUCUGAUUGCCUCCCACCUCCCCUGAUGCCCCCAUAUGCCAAGGGGCAGCAGCACAGAGCCCCACGUUGCUGGAGGCUGCAGUGCCCAGGGGUGCAAGCAGGAGCCUCACAGGGUGGAUGUGAAGGAGCAGAGGCUGUUUGGAUUGCAGUACCUGUAUGAUAAUUACUGCAGACUUAAUUACCUCCCAUACACACUGCACAAAGUGCAUGGGAGGUAGGAGUGGUGUCCUUUGAUACCAGCUAGUGUCAGAAAAUAAUUUUAAUCUGCCUUACAACUAUAUAAUUAAAAGCACUUAUAUAUAGACGUAUCUACACACACACACGUGUAUCUCUUUCCUGUGCUGAUGGACCCACAACCGUUCUGCCCGGCGGUGGCAUUGACCCCCAUGGCCGGAGCAGUGGGGCUGAGUUACUGCUGUGCCCCAACACAGAGCACUGAGCUCAGCAGUGCCCAGAGGAGGAGGAGGAGGAGGAAGAGGCUGAAGCUCCUCUGAGGGGGCGGGGAGAUCUGUAAAUACAGCAGGUUAAAGGCUGGCAGUGUGACUGCAGUCUGUAUUUCAAGCAGAUGUUUCCCAUGUUUUGUAGUAUCGUUUUAUUGGUAAAUAAAAACCAAC